AAUCACUUAACUCUUUCCUUCUUGCCGACUGUUCUUAUUCAACAAUCACCAUUAUUGCUGGUUAUGUGCAUUGUGAUGAAAAUUCUGCAAUGAAUAACUUUUUACCUAAUGUUUUCUGUUGGAACAAAUUACUCUGGUAGAAAAGCCCUACAGGGUUUGAGAAAUCCCAUGAUGUGAUGAUUGUGAGCAUUUUAGACACCGUGUAUGGGUUUAUUUUGUGACUAUAAAAUGUUAAGAUUGUUUCUAGUUUUGGUUUGUAGUGCAUAAAAGGAUUCAAAAUUUGACAUCUGUCUAAAUCAGAUUAAUAACAUGAUAAUGUACAUAUGCAAGAUGUGAGGAAUUGUUUUAUCUCACCCCUAAACUUUAAGAAAUUGAAACAUUAUCAUUCAAAAUAUUUACCAUUUCCAGAAUUGAUAGUUAGUCUAUUUGAGCAGUGACUGGUGGUUAUCAUGAACUGAUGUGUGGUUGUGGUGUCAAAUCUUGGUGAAACCUGUUGUCAUCUGCCGGUUAACAUAGCUAGUCUCUGAAAUAAUUUCUUGAUUCACUAAUUAUGAGUUCAAAUUUGAUGCAGAAUGGGCAACCAGCCUACUGCAAACAAAUCUUCUGGAACAGUUCAGAUGAAGGGACAGCCAAUCCAGCAAAACAGCAACUGCUGUGGUUAGCCGAGCAUCUUAUUUUACUUCUACAUGUUAGCUGACUGAUUGUAUACAGUUUUAACUAUGUUGACUGCAUUAUCUUAUGAGUCUUUUAAUAUGUCAAAUAUUUAUUUCCUGCUUUAAGUUCUUUCCGUUUAUAACAAAUUUAAUUUCUUGCUUCAUUGCAUUCCAAAUUCCUGUCAAUUUACGAGGGAAAAAGAAAAGGGAGACGAAAUCGGAGAAAAUGCUCAAAUUUGUUUGUUUAUUGUCGUGACCCUCUUGUAGCUUGUCUAUGACCUGGAAGUCCGGUCAUAUCGGAUGGGUAAAGUUACCAAAACGGCAUCAUUUUGGGUGAAAUAUCAUAUUUGAUAAUAUUUUUAUGCAACAAAAAAAUGUUCGCAGUACCCUUUUCACAUUGUGAAGCGCAUGAUCGGAUGAGAGCAGUCUGGAUUCUGGCAUCACAAGCUAAUGCUUUGAUUUGCUUAGUUUGUUUUUUGUUUCUGAUAUUUUCUUGGCAUUGGGUGGGAUAUUGUUUCUCUUUUGAGUUUCCUUUUUUUUUUUUUUUUGAUUAUGGAAUUUGGAGAUAGUGUACAUGUAUGAAGAUGACGUAAUCAAGUUGUUUUGAUAAAUUUCCCUGGUCGGUUUACUUCACUAACCAUUAAUGCGCAAAACCUCCUGAUGACCCUAAAAAAUCCCGUACAUAAUUAAAGAAUUUCAAUUUUAUAUGUACAAAAAUAAAUAACUCUCAAAUAUAUUAUUUGAUAAUUCCAAAAACAACUAUUCACUCUAAUAAAUCUCGUAGGAAAUACAUGGUCUAUAUUGUAAGUCUUUUCGAGACUAAUUCAAAAUACGAAGGACAUAUAAUUGACCUCUACAGAACUCUAAAUAUCAUAAAGAACUUUAAAUAAAUUUAUAUACGCAUCACAAUUAAUUACAGCCUUGAUACUUCAUUUGGUUUUUGUUAAUUUUCUAUACAGUUGUGCUGUGCAUAAAAGUUUUGUUAAAUGAAAUCGGUAGGUGAGGGUUAAUUAAUCAAUUAAUUAAGAUCCAGUUAAUGUAAUUAAUUUUAUUUGAUUUUUUUAAUUCGAGUUCUAAAUUAAUCAAUUAAUUUAGAUUCAUGUGAAAUUGAAGUGAAUUAGUUUCGAUCUGUUUUUGGUCCUAUGUUUGUAUGUGUUUACUCUUACUUUUCUUUUUGUUUAAAUUUUCGUUUUCUUAUUUUUUCCUGAAUAAAUUUCUGAGCUUUAUUUGAGUAUGAUGAUUGAUUUGUGAUUUUAAUUUGUGACUUUUUUUUUUGGAAUUUAAAUCUGAAUGCUUUUUAAGUUGAAUCUGAAUGUGUUGGGCUGCGAUUUAAUUGAGUGAUGUGUGAGCGCAAAAUAUACAAUAACUGAUAAAUUAUAUUUAUAAAUAUUAAUAGCGAUGGCACAUAAACAAUUAAUUCAAGAACUCGCCCAAAGUGCAUUAAUUUGAAGAGUAUAAAUAACAUUGCAAUACAAUCUAGCCCUUACGUGUUUAAUUAGCAAUUACACGAACAUUAUAACACUCUGUUGCUGAUGCGGCAGCUAGUAAUUCUUCUGGUGAAGAUAUUAAGGCUGUUAAAGCUAAAAUGUAAUCAGAGAAAUAUAAUGCAUUCCCUUAGUUUGCUUUUUGUUUUUGAUAUUUGUUUGGCUAAUGCUUUGCUUAGAUUGCUUUUUGUUUUUGAGAUUUUAUUGGCUUAGUCAUGGUAUAUUGUUUUCUCUUCUAAUUUUCUAUUUUUGUCGUUAUGGGAUUUGAUGAUGGUGUACACAUACGAAAAUUAUGUAAUAAAGUGCUUUCAAUAAAUCAUGGUCGGUUUACUAUUAAUUAAUUAAAUU
Molecule: long non-coding RNA, 2485 nt
Filed under: Citrus x clementina
Lineage: Eukaryota; Viridiplantae; Streptophyta; Magnoliopsida; Sapindales; Rutaceae
Description: Citrus clementina (C. clementina) long non-coding RNA (CCLE_LNC002298)
Source: RNAcentral